UGAGGAAUAUUGGUCAAUGGACGGAAGUCUGAACCAGCCAAGUAGCGUGCAGGAUGACGGCCCUAUGGGUUGUAAACUGCUUUUGUAUGGGGAUAAAGUUAGGGACGUGUCCCUAUUUGCAGGUACCAUAUGAAUAAGGACCGGCUAAUUCCGUGCCAGCAGCCGCGGUAAUACGGAAGGUUCAGGCGUUAUCCGGAUUUAUUGGGUUUAAAGGGAGCGUAGGCUGGAGAUUAAGUGUGUUGUGAAAUGUAGACGCUCAACGUCUGACUUGCAGCGCAUACUGGUUUCCUUGAGUACGCACAACGUUGGCGGAAUUCGUCGUGUAGCGGUGAAAUGCUUAGAUAUGACGAAGAACUCCGAUUGCGAAGGCAGCUUGCGGGAGCACAACUGACGCUGAAGCUCGAAGGUGCGGGUAUCAAACAGGAUUAGAUACCCUGGUAGUCCGCACAGUAAACGAUGGAUGCCCGUUGUUAGUUCACUUAGGAAUUAGCGACCAAGCGAAAGCAUUAAGCAUCCCACCUGGGGAGUACGCCGGCAACGGUG
This 543-nucleotide ribosomal RNA is filed under the name uncultured bacterium. RNAcentral's name for it is "bacterial SSU rRNA". It matches the Rfam family "Bacterial small subunit ribosomal RNA", at positions 355 to 896 of the family's 1533-position model. The record is from RNAcentral.